RNAcentral lists this ribosomal RNA (897 nucleotides) under uncultured archaeon. RNAcentral's name for it is "bacterial SSU rRNA". It matches the Rfam family "Archaeal small subunit ribosomal RNA", at positions 21 to 903 of the family's 1478-position model. The record is from RNAcentral.
CCCGACUGCUAUUCGGGUGAGAGUAAGCCAUGCGAGUUGUAUGGGAUACCUAAAUUUCCCAUGGCAAACUGCUCAGUAACACAUGAUCAACUUACCCUAUAGAGGAAACUAACCUCGGGAAACUGAGGAUAAUGUUCCAUAGUUGAAUCGGCUUGGAAAAGUUUUUCAAUAAAAGGGAUAAGAAAAAUGGUUCUUAUCUGCUAUAGGAUAGGAUCGUGCUCGAUUAUGGUUGUUGGUGAGGUAACGGCUCACCAAGCCGAUAAUCGAUAGGGGCCGUGAGAGCGGGAGCCCCGAGAUGGGUACUGAGACAACGACCCAGGCCUUACGAGGCGCAACAGGCGCGGAACCUCCGCAAUACACGAAAGUGUGACGGGGUUACCCAAAGUGUUCUAUUUAGAACUGUGGUAGGUGAGUAAUGUCCCCUACUAGAAAGGAGAGGGCAAGGCUGGUGCCAGCCGCCGCGGUAAAACCAGCUCUUCAAGUGGUCGGGAUAAUUAUUGGGCUUAAAGUGUCCGUAGCCGGUUUAGUAAGUUCCUGGUAAAAUCGGGUAGCUUAACUAUCUGUAUGCUAGGAAUACUGCUAUACUAGAGGGCGGGAGAGGUCUGAGGUACUACAGGGGUAGGGGUGAAAUCUUAUAAUCCUUGUAGGACCACCAGUGGCGAAGGCGUCAGACUGGAACGCGCCUGACGGUGAGGGACGAAAGCCAGGGGAGCGAACCGGAUUAGAUACCCGGGUAGUCCUGGCCGUAAACGAUGCAUACUAGGUGAUGGUACGGCCAUGAGCCGUGUCAGUGCCGUAGGGAAACCGUUAAGUGUGCCGCCUGGGAAGUACGGUCGCAAGGCUAAAACUUAAAGGAAUUGGCGGGGGAGCACCACCAAGGGGUGAAGCCUGCGGUUC